GACGAACCGUGCGAACGUUGUUCGGAAUCACCGGGCUUAAAGGGCGCGUAGGCGGCGCAUCAAGUCAGGGGUGAAAUCCUCCAGCUUAACUGGAGAAGUGCCUUUGAUACUGGUGCGCUCGAGGGAGGUAGGGGCAUGUGGAACACAUGGUGGAGCGGUGAAAUGCGUUGAUAUCAUGUGGAACGCCGGUGGCGAAAGCGACGUGCUGGACCUCUUCUGACGCUGAGGCGCGAAAGCUAGGGGGGCAAACGGG
This 253-nucleotide ribosomal RNA is filed under the name uncultured bacterium. Its description in RNAcentral is "partial 16S ribosomal RNA". It matches the Rfam family "Bacterial small subunit ribosomal RNA", at positions 524 to 776 of the family's 1533-position model. The record is from RNAcentral.